UCCGAGUUGUAAUUUGCAGAGGGCGCUUUGGUGUUGGCAGCGGUCCAAGUUCCUUGGAACAGGACGUCACAGAGGGUGAGAAUCCCGUACGUGGUCGCUAGCCUCCGCCGUGUAAAGCCCCUUCGACGAGUCGAGUUGUUUGGGAAUGCAGCUCUAAAUGGGAGGUAAAUUUCUUCUAAAGCUAAAUACUGGCCAGAGACCGAUAGCGCACAAGUAGAGUGAUCGAAAGAUGAAAAGCACUUUGGAAAGAGAGUCAAAUAGCACGUGAAAUUGUUGAAAGGGAAGCGCUUGCAGCCAGACUUGCCUGUAGUUGCUCAUCCGGGCUUUUGCCCGGUGCACUCUUCUACAGGCAGGCCAGCAUCAGUUUGGGCGGUUGGAUAAAGGUCUCUAUCACGUACCUCUCUUCGGGGAGGCCUUAUAGGGGAGACGUCAUGCAACCAGCCUGGACUGAGGUCCGCGCAUUUGCUAGGAUGCUGGCGUAAUGGCUGUAAGCGGCCCGUCUUGAAACACGGACCAAGGAGUCUAACAUCUAUGCGAGUGUUUGGGUGUCAAGCCCGAGCGCGUAAUGAAAGUGAACGGAGGUGGGAACCCUUUGGGUGCACCAUCGACCGAUCCUGAUGUCUUCGGAAGGAUUUGAGUAAGAGCAUGGCUGUUGGGACCCGAAAGAUGGUGAACUAUGCUUGAAUAGGGU
This 691-nucleotide ribosomal RNA is filed under the name Sphaerellopsis melampsorinearum. RNAcentral describes it as "Sphaerellopsis sp. PAGZ-2023a partial large subunit ribosomal RNA". It matches the Rfam family "Eukaryotic large subunit ribosomal RNA", at positions 137 to 847 of the family's 3401-position model. Lineage: Eukaryota; Fungi; Ascomycota; Dothideomycetes; Pleosporales; Leptosphaeriaceae. The record is from RNAcentral.